Molecule: ribosomal RNA, 441 nt
Filed under: uncultured bacterium
Lineage: Bacteria
Description: partial 16S ribosomal RNA
Rfam family: Bacterial small subunit ribosomal RNA
Source: RNAcentral
CCUACGGGUGGCAGCAGUGGGGAAUAUUGCACAAUGGGCGAAAGCCUGAUCCAGCAACGCCGCGUGGGUGAAGGAGCGUUUCGGCGCGUAAAGCCCUGUCAGCGGGGAAGAAGAAAGACGGUACCCGACCAAGAAGCCCCGGCUACCUACGUGCCAGCCGCCGCGGUCAUACGUAGGGGGCGCGCGUUAUCCGGAAUUACUGGGGGUAACGGGAGCGUAGACGGCGAGGUAAGCCUGAGGUGGAAGCCCGCGGCCCAACCGCGGCACUGCUUGGGGAACUGUUUUGCUGGAGUAUGGGUGGGGUAAGCGGAAUUCGUGGUGUAGCGGUGAAAUGCGUAGAUAUCAGGAGGAACACCGGUGGCGAAGGCGGCUUACUGGACCAUAACUGACGUUGAGGCUCGAAAGCGUGGGGAGCGAACAGGAUUAGAUACCCGGGUAGUC